This 437-nucleotide ribosomal RNA is filed under the name Nemesiidae sp. South Africa MY546. RNAcentral describes it as "partial 16S ribosomal RNA". It matches the Rfam family "Bacterial large subunit ribosomal RNA", at positions 1830 to 2600 of the family's 2925-position model. The record is from RNAcentral. Lineage: Eukaryota; Metazoa; Arthropoda; Arachnida; Araneae; Nemesiidae. RNAcentral also lists the same sequence under 1 other name.
CUCUAACAGAAUUUAUUGUUAGUAAAACCUGCUCAGUGAAAUAUUCAACAGCCGCAGAUAUCCUGUGCUAAGGUAGCAUAAUCAUUUGCCUUUUAAUUGGAGGCUAGAAUGAACGGCUUAACAUGUAAAUUACUUUAUUAAAUAAAUUAUUUUAAAUUAAUUUAUAAGUAAAAAAGCUUAUAUAUAUAGAAGGACGACAAGACCCUGACAAACUUUAACUUACAAGUUUUGCUGGGGUGGCAAUAAAUUUAAAUCUUUUAUAAACUUUCAUCAACAUCUUCCAACCGGAAAUUUUAACAAGUUACUGCAGGGAUAACAGCAUAAUUUUUCCUCAGAGACCUUAUCAAAGGAAAAGAUUAUGACCUCGAUGUUGAAUAGAAAUAUUCUUAAGGGCAAGACCUUAAAAAAUAAGUCUGUUCGACUUUUAAUAUUCUACA